CAGCAGCCACGGGAAUACGAGGGGGGCAAGCGUUGUUCGGAAUUAUUGGGCGUAAAGGGUGCGUAGGCGGUUUGAUAAGUCUUGUGUGAAAUCUCUGGGCUCAACCCUGAGUCUGCACAGGAAACUGUCGGGCUUGAGAGUGGGAGAGGUGAGUGGAAUUUCCGGUGUAGCGGUGAAAUGCGUAGAUAUCGGAAGGAACACCUGUGGCGAAAGCGGCUCACUGGACCAUUUCUGACGCUGAUGCACGAAAGCUAGGGGAGCAAACAGGAUUAGAUACCCCAGUAGUCCCUGUCUCUUAUAC
This 301-nucleotide ribosomal RNA is filed under the name uncultured bacterium. Its description in RNAcentral is "partial 16S ribosomal RNA". It matches the Rfam family "Bacterial small subunit ribosomal RNA", at positions 509 to 807 of the family's 1533-position model. The record is from RNAcentral.